This 3325-nucleotide long non-coding RNA is filed under the name Triticum aestivum (bread wheat). RNAcentral describes it as "long non-coding RNA (TAES_LNC004717)". The record is from RNAcentral. Lineage: Eukaryota; Viridiplantae; Streptophyta; Magnoliopsida; Poales; Poaceae.
AAUCACGCCUAUCAAACACAAGCAUCGACUUCAUAUCAUAAUCCACAGAUGCAUAAUACAUAAACAAUCUGCAUAAAUAUCUACUGCUGGAAACUAAAUCAAGCUAGGCAAGUGACAUAUAUAGAUUCUCACAGUAGAGGGGUACAAGAGCAAGAGGAGCUUGCCCAUCUUCUUCCCAGCAGCUCUGGAGGACUGCAAUCCUGCCCCUUGGGAACCAGCCCCUGCAAAUGAACAGAUUGACAUAUCAAAUUGCAUCUCUAGCGGAUGAAUAGGGGAAAAUAUGAAGCCUCUUUGCAUAUGUGAUCCAUAUGAAAUAAAGCUGAAUCAAGAAUGCAUAAUUCUGCAUCGGCAAAACCGUAUCAAGAUCGCAUAAUGCGCAACCAGGAACUCAAUUUGGCCAUGUAUUUUGCAGGUAGACUUUAGUAUGGCACUCCAUAUUGUAGCUAAGAUCUAAUCAACAUUCUUUUCAGUGGAACUUUAAACAACCCAAAGCCCUUUUAUACAGAGCUAGCUUCAGUUGCAGAAAUAGUAAAUAAACAGUGAUCGAUGUGAACAACACAUACAGAGAAGAGGAGGUGUUCAUCACCAGAUGAUCCUUUUCGUCAGAGGCAAAGAGGAGGAACUGCUUGUUACCGACGUCGUCUGUCCCGCUGCAGCCAACGUCGCCGGUCUAACCUGGCCAUGCACACACCAUGACAGCAAGCUGAGUCAAGAAAAGGCGGCAUCUCCCAAAGAAAAUAGAUGCACGAAAAAAAGAUUUCAUCACCCACAAACGAUAUUUCAAUACCUAACAAACGAAUAGACUCUCCACUCGAUUGAUCACAAAUUUGUGGCCGGUUUAUUCCUCUCUACAGGCUAACAGCUUCACCAAAGAAAAUCAUCUAUGUUACUAAAGGGGAGCCACAAAGGACAACCAUCUACGUAAGCCUAGCUCAUCAGUCAAUUUAAGAAUCAGUCUGCCUCCUAUAACUGCUGAUGAGCUAAGGAAAGCACAAUAACUAAAACAUGCACUCUUGUGUAUACCUUAAAACCCGAAAAAGUGGGCAACCGUGUACUUAAGAGAUAAAGCAGCCUCAAAUAAUCUACCGAGAAACUGUAUAUAUUUUAGUUACCUUUUUUGGUGAACUCCAGUCUAAAAUGAUUUACUGAUAAAGUAGUCAACAGAGCCAAAGAUCUUUCAGCAUGAGUAUAAAUGUGACAUCAGGAUCUUACUAAGAGAACAAACAUGGCAACAUGGUUAAGAUUUAGCAAUAUUAAACUAUAAGCACGAAUUAUGUGCUACUGGCAGUCUUGUGAAGAGUAUAACAUCGGACUGGAAAAGAAUCACUACAUAGUAUACCAAGACUUGCUGAUAAGAAAUAAAUAAAGAUGUGAUUCGCAAAAGGUACUAACCUUCUUGCAAUUAGGAAAGAAAACAAAGACAAUGAGAAAUCCAGGAACACACUAAUGGUUGCACAUCCAUGAUUGUAUCUAAUCCAGCUUUAUCUGAACAGAAACAUCCACAUACCUUGUCCUAGACCAAAAGAAAUUCCAAAAAAAAUAGCAUUAUAUGGAAUAGUUCUCAUGCCUACACAAACCAACAAAUUGAUUUUGUAAUUCACUCCAUCCAUGACACAUCUGUAAAACAGACUUACUGGACAUAAUUAUAACCUAGUUGAGCGACCAAUAACAAUUCAUGCAAGAUUUUUAUAACUACAGCUUAAAGUGAAUGUUCCCUUCAACCUACACAAACCUAAGAAAACAACUGGCCAAAAUAAGCUAGCAUAUGAGCCUGCUUCACGGGUCGUAGGAAUGUGCAUUGAAGUAAUGUUCCUCCAUCACAAGCAUUAGAGAUAAUUAUUAGUUAGUGCAGCUACUGUCAUAGUAGAACAUAUAUGAAUCCGAUAUCAUAUUGAAUUGCAUGCAUUGAAAUUAACAAAGAUGAUAGCUUCCAAAUAUUUGUAUGCAGGUCAACCUCAUGUUUGCCAAACAUGUCAAUUGCAUCCAUACGGACUGUAUGACAACACAAGAUAUUGAAUAAAUAUUGAAAAGCAUGAGCCUUAUGCAAACAGAUACCAAACGGAACCCAAACUGAUACUUGGAUAUAUUUAAUCAAUAUAACUGACCUUCACAUGGAAAAGAAGGAAACGACAUAUUUAUAUGAAUUGCCAGAGUUUCUCCCCGUUUUAGAUCUACAGAAAUAUGCACGCAUUGAAAAGAAAAACUUGAGACGGGUUCAUGAUCUUGGUGCUGGCAGUCAAAACAAUAAUAAGUGGGCCUCAAGCCUUGUUCAGUGUGAGACGAGCUCAUGAAUUCAGUUAACAAUGAACCUGAAUCUAUGUCUACGUGUGAAGGGACAGUGUUCAAUGUGAGAUGAGCUCAUGAAUUCAGUUAACAAUGAACCUGAAUCUAUGUCUACGUGUGAAGGGACAGACAGAGAGAAAGAUGGGGCUUUGAGGAGGGAGGGAGGGACUGACAGGGUGAUCCCGAAAGCUCCGACGAUGGGGACGACGCGCCAGAGCACCACCGCGUGCAACAGCUGGUCCUGCAAUCAAACCUACAAGCAAGCGAUGACAACUUAGAAUCCCAUGGAGUAGCGAUGCAUGGUUUGGUCGUUCAGGAGCUAGGAUACGCGGUGGCAGCAGUUAGCAGGAGGUGCUUACAAAUGCACAAAAGACAUGGACAAUUCUAAUAUUUUUAGCAAGCAAAUUUCAAAUAUGAUUUGCUUACAUACAUCAACGGUCAGAUAAACAAAUUAGGAAUCUUUGUAUACAUACAUAAGCAACUGGAAAAUAAUGGAUCUAUCAGAGAAACCUCAGAAACUAAAAUGUGUCUUAUCUAUGCCUUUUGAUCUCGUAAGACAUUGGUUUCUUUGGAUUUCUAAUUUCAUUCAUAUAUAUAAGCCACCCAAUCGUACAGCGAGAAAGGAUUCUAGUGAACAAUACCACUAACCAAAAGGUGACUUGUUGACAAACGACUGUAGAACACACAAACAGGUAUGCGGUCAGAUCCGGAACCAAUCGCAGCAGGACCAGGAAAUCAGCCAAGCUUGCCCUGCCAAAUCAACAAUAAAUCAGACACUGGCCAUUGAUUGAGAUGCACAGGAGAGAGAGAGGGAGAUAUAUAUAUAUAUAUAUAUAUAUAUAGAGAGAGAGAGAGAGAGAGAGAGAGAGAAAGAGAGGAAGCUGAGAGCAAGAGGGCCCUGGCGGCGCGAGAGCGAAGGGGCGGCGUAGUCGACCAAGGCCUGAGCGCCGCAGCACCUCGAGGUUCUCCUUCCACUUGCUUCUGCCUCUGCUUCUUCUUCUAUCUCCCUCUCAUGGCCUCCACUGCUCGAGUGAAAUACCUG